AGAGUUUGAUCCUGGCUCAGAGCGAACGCUGGCGGCAGGCCUAACACAUGCAAGUCGAGCGCCCCGCAAGGGGAGCGGCAGACGGGAGAGUAACACGUGGGAACGUGCCCUUUGGUUCGGAAUAACUCAGGGAAACUUGAGCUAAUACCGGAUAAGCCCUUCGGGGGAAAGAUUUAUUGCCAUUGGAGCGGCCCGCGUCGGAUUAGCUAGUUGGUGAGGUAACGGCUCACCAAGGCGACGAUCCGUAGCUGGUCUGAGAGGAUGACCAGCCUCACUGGGACUGAGACACGGCCCAGACUCCUACGGGAGGCAGCAGUGGGGAAUAUUGGACAAUGGGCGCAAGCCUGAUCCAGCCAUGCCGCGUGGAUGAUGAAGGCCCUAGGGUUGUAAAGUCCUUUUAACGGGGAAGAUAAUGACGGUACCCGUAG
This 428-nucleotide ribosomal RNA is filed under the name uncultured bacterium. RNAcentral's name for it is "bacterial SSU rRNA". It matches the Rfam family "Bacterial small subunit ribosomal RNA", at positions 8 to 484 of the family's 1533-position model. The record is from RNAcentral.